GAUGAACGCUGGCGGCGUGCCUAAUACAUGCAAGUAGAACGCUGAAGCUUGGUGCUUGCACCGAGCGGAUGAGUUGCGAACGGGUGAGUAACGCGUAGGUAACCUGCCCCUUAGCGGGGGAUAACUAUUGAAACCAAUACCUAAUACGGCAUAAAAGUCAUUAUGCCAUGAUAUGGAUUUAAAGGGUGCAAAUGCCUCACUAAAAGAUGGACCUGCGUUGUAUUCCCUAGUUGGUGAGGUAACGGCUCACCAGGCGACGAUACAUAGCCGACCUGAGAGGUGACCGGCCCACUGGGACUGAAACCCGGCCCAACUCCUACGGGAGCAGCAGUAAGGAAAUCUCCGGCAAUGGGCGGCACCCUUGCAACAAACAACCGCCCCCAUGAGUGAAAAAGGGUUUCCGAAUUAUAAAAGCUUUUGUUUUAAGAAAAAAAAACAAUGGU
RNAcentral lists this ribosomal RNA (443 nucleotides) under Staphylococcus aureus. Its description in RNAcentral is "bacterial SSU rRNA". It matches the Rfam family "Bacterial small subunit ribosomal RNA", at positions 28 to 460 of the family's 1533-position model. The record is from RNAcentral. Lineage: Bacteria; Bacillati; Bacillota; Bacilli; Caryophanales; Staphylococcaceae.